CAGCACCUCAAGUGGUCAGGAGGAUUAUUGGGCCUAAAGCAUCCGUAGCCUGCUCUGUAAGUUUCCGGUUAAAUCCAUGGGCUUAACCCAUGGGCCGCCGGAAAUACUGCAGAGCUAGGGAGUGGGAGAGGUAGACGGUACUCGGUAGGAAGGGGUAAAAUCCUUUGAUCUAUUGAUGACCACCUGUGGCGAAGGCGGUCUACCAGAACACGUCCGACGGUGAGGGAUGAAAGCUGGGGGAGCAAACCGGAUUAGAUACCCGAGUAGUCC
RNAcentral lists this ribosomal RNA (270 nucleotides) under uncultured archaeon. RNAcentral's name for it is "partial 16S ribosomal RNA". It matches the Rfam family "Archaeal small subunit ribosomal RNA", at positions 477 to 747 of the family's 1478-position model. The record is from RNAcentral.